Molecule: ribosomal RNA, 301 nt
Filed under: uncultured bacterium
Lineage: Bacteria
Description: partial 16S ribosomal RNA
Rfam family: Bacterial small subunit ribosomal RNA
Source: RNAcentral
CAGUCGCCGCGGUAAUGCGAAGGGGGCUAGCGUUGCUCGGAAUUACUGGGCGUAAAGGGAGCGUAGGCGGACAUUUAAGUCAGGGGUGAAAUCCCAGAGCUCAACUCUGGAACUGCCUUUGAUACUGGGUGUCUUGAGUGUGAUAGAGGUAUGUGGAACUCCGAGUGUAGAGGUGAAAUUCGUAGAUAUUCGGAAGAACACCAGUGGCGAAGGCGACAUACUGGAUCAUUACUGACGCUGAGGCUCGAAAGCGUGGGGAGCAAACAGGAUUAGAUACCCCUGUAGUCCCUGUCUCUUAUCA